This 478-nucleotide ribosomal RNA is filed under the name uncultured bacterium. RNAcentral describes it as "bacterial SSU rRNA". It matches the Rfam family "Bacterial small subunit ribosomal RNA", at positions 56 to 527 of the family's 1533-position model. The record is from RNAcentral.
UGCAGUCGAGGGGUACAGGGAUUAGUUUACUAAUUUGCUGACGACCGGCGCACGGGUGAGUAACGCGUAUACAAUUUACCUUUUACAGGAGGAUAGCCCAGAGAAAUUUGGAUUAAUACUCCAUGGUAUUAUCGGAUCGCAUGGUUUGAUAAUUAAAGUUUCGGUGGUAGAAGAUGAGUAUGCGUCCUAUUAGCUGGUUGGUAAGGUAACGGCUUACCAAGGCGACGAUAGGUAGGGGUCCUGAGAGGGAGAUCCCCCACACUGGUACUGAGACACGGACCAGACUCCUACGGGAGGCAGCAGUGAGGAAUAUUGGUCAAUGGAGGCAACUCUGAACCAGCCAUGCCGCGUGCAGGAAGACUGCCCUAUGGGUUGUAAACUGCUUUUAUACAGGAAGAAACUUAUCCACGUGUGGAUAACUGACGGUACUGUACGAAUAAGGACCGGCUAACUCCGUGCCAGCAGCCGCGGUAAUACG